RNAcentral lists this ribosomal RNA (484 nucleotides) under uncultured bacterium. Its description in RNAcentral is "partial 16S ribosomal RNA". It matches the Rfam family "Bacterial small subunit ribosomal RNA", at positions 28 to 523 of the family's 1533-position model. The record is from RNAcentral.
GACGAACGCUGGCGGCGUGCUUAACACAUGCAAGUCGAACGAUGAACCCGGAGCUUGCUCCGGCGGAUUAGUGGCGAACGGGUGAGUAACACGUGAGUAACCUGCCCUUGACUCUGGGAUAACUGCUAGAAAUGGUAGCUAAUACCGGAUACGACCCUCGGUGGCAUCACCAGGGGGUGGAAAGAAUUUCGGUCAAGGAUGGACUCGCGGCCUAUCAGCUAGUUGGUGAGGUAACGGCUCACCAAGGCGACGACGGGUAGCCGGCCUGAGAGGGUAACCGGCCACACUGGGACUGAGACACGGCCCAGACUCCUACGGGAGGCAGCAGUGGGGAAUAUUGCACAAUGGGCGCAAGCCUGAUGCAGCAACGCCGCGUGAGGGAUGACGGCCUUCGGGUUGUAAACCUCUUUUAGUAGGGAAGAAGCGGAAGUGACGGUACCUGCAGAAAAAGCACCGGCUAACUACGUGCCAGCCGCCGCCGUAA